Long non-coding RNA from Onychostoma macrolepis, 837 nucleotides. RefSeq lists it as uncharacterized. The transcript is spliced from 5 exons. The record is from RefSeq and is a predicted model, not a curated record. Lineage: Eukaryota; Metazoa; Chordata; Actinopteri; Cypriniformes; Cyprinidae.
CGAGGACACGUGUCUGAGGAGUGAUAGUGAGCGUUGGCUGACUUUUGCAGUGUUGAAUUACAAACCUCAGAUAAAGAAGAUCAACACAAAAGCAGGAUCAUUUUGUGGAUGCCAUGAUGUUUGAUGGGUUGGAUCGGCUGCAUAUCAGGUUCCCAAACUUGGUGGCGUGUUUCUUUAGCGUUGAUCAAAGGGAGGAGAGCCGUUGACGUGUCACACGCCGGAUGUUGUGGAUGAGCUCAGGAGAGUUGGACAUUGAGGUUUAUCAGAGAUUCUGUGCCCAUUGACUGCCAUUAUAUGACUGACAGACUGCAACGGUUUGAGUUAAAAACCUUCGUUUGUGUUCUACUGAAGAAACAAAGUCACCUACAUCUUGGAUGUCCUGGGGGCACAGGUUGGCCAGGCGGAGGAGAGCGGCGGAAAGAUGGAGGUGAUGGCAGGGGCGACUCUUCCAGAAUCUCAAGCAGCUUCCACUUCCCCCUCCCUCUCUUUUUGGAAACGGCCAAGUUCGUAAAUGUACCCUGUUUUAUGUGGCAGCAGAACAGAGGCGAACGAACGUCUCCCCUGGGUGCUAUUUUAGCUCAUGUUCAUUUCGCUGUCUUUUCCCUCCGCUCACUGUUGUCGAGUCUGAUGCAUUAACUCGCAAUCUUCUGAAAGCAAGGCUGAAAAAAUGACUGUUUUGACACAAUCGUAAUAGUCAUUUUCACGCAAGAUUACAUUCUCUGCGUAUCGUGAGUAGCUGUGUCAAAAGAGCGGACUAUAAAAUAGGAAAACUAAUAAAUCGGGGUACGAUUCAGCAAAUUCUAAUUCACUUGUGCUCAUCUAGACCCAAAAACAAUU